GACGAACGCUGGCGGCGUGCUUAACACAUGCAAGUCGAACGAUGAAGCCUAGCUUGCUAGGUGGAUUAGUGGCGAACGGGUGAGUAAUACGUGAGUAACCUACCUUUAACUCUGGGAUAAGCCUGGGAAACUGGGUCUAAUACCGGAUACGACCAAUCUCCGCAUGGGGUGUUGGUGGAAAGCGUUAUGUAGUGGUUAUAGAUGGGCUCACGGCCUAUCAGCUUGUUGGUGAGGUAACGGCUCACCAAGGCGACGACGGGUAGCCGGCCUGAGAGGGUGACCGGCCACACUGGGACUGAGAGACGGCCCAGACUCCUACGGGAGGCAGCAGUGGGGAAUAUUGCACAAUGGGCGGAAGCCUGAUGCAGCGACGCCGCGUGAGGGAUGACGGCCUUCGGGUUGUAAACCUCUGUUAGCAGGGAAGAAGAGAAAUUGACGGUACCUGCAGAGAAAGCGCCGGCUAACUACGUG
Molecule: ribosomal RNA, 471 nt
Filed under: uncultured bacterium
Lineage: Bacteria
Description: partial 16S ribosomal RNA
Rfam family: Bacterial small subunit ribosomal RNA
Source: RNAcentral